CCUACGGGAGGCUGCAGUGAGGAAUAUUGGUCAAUGGGCUUACGCCUGAACCAGCCAAGUCGCGUGAGGGAAGACUGCCCUAUGGGUUGUAAACCUCUUUUGUCAGGGAGCAACGCCGGCUACGUGUAGCCGGACUGAGAGUACCUGAAGAAAAAGCAUCGGCUAACUCCGUGCCAGCAGCCGCGGUAAUACGGAGGAUGCGAGCGUUAUCCGGAUUUAUUGGGUUUAAAGGGUGCGUAGGCGGAAUGCCAAGUCAGCGGUAAAAUGGCGGGGCUCAACCUCGCUCCGCCGUUGAAACUGGCGUUCUUGAGUGGGAGAGAAGUAUGCGGAAUGCGUGGUGUAGCGGUGAAAUGCAUAGAUAUCACGAAGAACUCCGAUUGCGAAGGCAGCAUACCGGCGCCAAACUGACGCUGAAGCACGAAAGCGUGGGGAUCGAACAGGAUUAGAUACCCGGGUAGUC
This 460-nucleotide ribosomal RNA is filed under the name uncultured bacterium. RNAcentral describes it as "partial 16S ribosomal RNA". It matches the Rfam family "Bacterial small subunit ribosomal RNA", at positions 338 to 795 of the family's 1533-position model. The record is from RNAcentral.